AUGAAUAUCUUAAGUUUGAACUGUCGGGGGUGCGGGCGACCUGAGACAGUUCAAGAAAUUAGCAGUUUGAUUCGGCUGCAUCACCCGUCACUGGUUUUUCUCUCAGAGACCAGGCUGUCUGAUAAGAGAGCUCAGGAUCUGAAGUUUCGCUUGGGGUUCAGUAAUGCGGUUGGCGUAAAGAGCGAGGGGCUAAGUGGAGGCCUUGUCCUCUUUUGGAACAAUGAUUCGGUGGUAUCCCUGAAAUCUUUCAGUCGGACGCACAUUGAUGUGUUUGUGCAAAAUGAAAGCUUGGGGGGUAGAGAAUGGCGCUUUACGGGAUUUUAUGGUGAGCCGGUAAGAACACGAAGAAAAUUAAGCUGGGACCUUAUGAAGUUUCUGCGAAGGGAGUUUAAUAAUCCAUGUUUGAUAGCCGGAGACUUUAAUGAGGUACUUGAUGCUUCCGAACAAUUUGGAGGUAAUGUAAGAGAGGAAUGGAAAAUGGAGGGUUUUCGGGAUGCGGUGGAGUAUUGCCACUUGGAUGAUCUAGGCUAUUCCGGUCUCCCAUUUACUUGGGAUAACAGGCAGCAAGGGUCGAAUAACAUCAAAGUCAGACUUGAUCGUGCUCUAGCUGAUGAGAAAUUUAUGGAAAGAUAUGAUAAUACUAGUGUUAGGGGCUAG
This 657-nucleotide ribosomal RNA is filed under the name Triticum aestivum (bread wheat). Its description in RNAcentral is "partial small subunit ribosomal RNA". The record is from RNAcentral. Lineage: Eukaryota; Viridiplantae; Streptophyta; Magnoliopsida; Poales; Poaceae.